CUUACACUGUGGUUGAGAAGGCAUAAAUAAUCACGUAUGCACGAUGUAAUGAUGUGUGAUCACUUAGCCACUACUGUGUCACAGCUACCACAUGUUUAGAAGACCAGCAGUGACCAUAGAAGAAAAAAGCACCAGUGGGUUAUUUGCAAACUGAAAUGUAAAGGCAGCUACACCUUGCUUUUCCAGAGGACUGCCUUGGCAAAAAUUUUAUAAGACUCCCAGACUGCAUUCUCAUCAGGAAUAAAAAGCACAUGAAUGAAACAUCUCGCAUCAUGUUCCAUUAAAAAAUGGGGAAGUUUAAACUGGCUGCAGUUUCAUCUAUUUCUUUUUUCAAAUGUAUCCUGAACACUAUGUGCCUAGUCAUUCAUCUGCUCAGGAAAAAAUAAAACUAAAUGGCAUCCCAGAAUAGCUCCAUAAAUUUCUGCAAUCCUGCCUCCAAAUAAGGCAUACCCAUGCCCCUGUGAGAAUGAACUUUUCUGCCAAGGGAAAAAAAUUAAAGUGAGGCCAAGGAAUGAGGUGGUGGAACAGAAAAGUAUAAUGAGAAUCACCUGAGUAUGAAUCUGAGCGAAGGCACUUGAUAUUACAAGACCAAAUUCUCCUGGAAAGCAGAUUCUGAGACUAGAGCUUUGUGCAAAUUGUGCAUUUGAGGAAAUGAUACCAAGAAUAGGAACAGAAGACUGGGAAAUCCUGAUUCACAGUGCAUUUAGACCACAACUCUGACCAACUGGGGCUCAACCCCAUUGAGAAAUGUUGAAGAGUCCUAUAGAAUAAGCUCCAGAAUCGUCUGCCCAAAUGAUGCUCUAACUCCUGUCUGCCGUUGGUUAAGCAUUGCCCUGGUGGUUCUAACCCUUUGGCAUUUCCAGGAUAUGCACACUUUCACUGUCCUGAGAUUAUUGCCCAAAGGGAGGAAGCAAGAAUUACAGAAUGCUUCUGAGGUUAGCACCAUCAUCUUAAACCUGUACAAAGCCAGACGCAUCAGAAAUGAACAGAGAAAAAAGUGAACAGAGGAUGAGACAAAGCCCAAGAGGUGGCUGGACUUAUUUCAAGUUCAUUUUCACUCAGCAAGGUGUUGUUGCCUUUUUGAAAGCCCUCCCUUCCAUAUGGGCCAGGUAGCAGGAAGAAUCAAGAGGUAGAAGAGCAUUGAAUGCCAAACCUCUGAGAAAGAGAAACAGGAUUUCAGGGUGACAUUUGGUAAACAAUUUCAGCAAAGUGGUUGGCAGAUGCAAAGACUUAUAUAUCAUUGAUUCCACUUUGUGUAACAGCCAAUCUAUUUUUGAAAAAGUACACGAUCACAUGAAGAUACUUUGUGGUCAAGAAAAAUCCUAAAAGCAAAUGCAGCCCUCAUGGGUAUUUGCACAAAAUUAUACAUCGAUUAAUUUUAAAAUAAGGUUUUCUACCAAAGGACCCGAGCAAAUGGAGAAAUUACCAUGAACUUGAUUACAUAAUGUAGAUGCUAGUGACUUAUCUAACAAAGAAGGAAAUGGCAGAGACUCCUGAGUUUAGACUCUCUCUGCAUGUUACAAAAUACAUAAUACUAUUGUAAAAGUCUCAGUCUGAAUACCAAGUUUUACUCUCUAUAUUUUGUCCCCUACUUCAUAUCUCCAAGUGGGGAUAUGGUGAAAAAAACACAAACAAUUUCCAUAUAAAAGGCCAAAGAGAAUGAAAGCGAGAAAUAUACAAGAAGAAGAGAAACACCAGAGAAGUAGAUGCAAGUAAAGGUCUCAAAAGUGAGACAGAAAAAAAAGAAAACUUGCUGCUUGUCCUUAAUCACAAGUGACUUAUUUAAAUAGACAAAAUGACAGGCUGACCUCCAUCUAUUUUAACUGCCAAAUCCUAUCAGCGGGGUGUGAUUACCGCCCAAGACCACCCUGGGGGGAGGGGGGUGAUUUUCAACCUGCCCUGAGAAUCCCUGACAUUCUUUCCUCCAUCCAGAAAUCCGGAAUUCUUCUAAGGAAACAUUUGUGGCCAUUAAACCAAUUGGAGUUGAACUCAUGUCCUAGAGGUUGACAGGACAAUUUAUGAAUGUGCUCUAUAACCAAGUCUGGAUUAAAAAAGAA
This 2057-nucleotide long non-coding RNA is filed under the name Homo sapiens (human). Its description in RNAcentral is "HSALNT0264379". The record is from RNAcentral. Lineage: Eukaryota; Metazoa; Chordata; Mammalia; Primates; Hominidae.